UGCAUGGUUGUCGUCAGCUCGUGUCGUGAGAUGUUGGGUUAAGUCCCGCAACGAGCGCAACCCUUAUUGUUAGUUGCUACCAUUUAGUUGAGCACUCUAGCGAGACUGCCCGGGUUAACCGGGAGGAAGGUGGGGAUGACGUCAAAUCAUCAUGCCCCUUAUGUCUAGGGCUACACACGUGCUACAAUGGUCGGUACAAUGAGAUGCAACCUCGCGAGAGUGAGCAAAACUAUAAAACCGAUCUCAGUUUGGAUUGUAGGCUGAAACUCGCCUACAUGAAGCUGGAGUUGCUAGUAAUCGCGAAUCAGAAUGUCGCGGUGAAUACGUUCCCGGGCCUUGUACACACCGCCCGUCACACCAUGAGAGUUGGCAAUACCCAAAGUUCGUGAGCUAACCGCAAGGAGGCAGCGACCUAAGGUAGGGUCAGCGAUUGGGGUGAAGUCGUAACAAGGUAGCCGUAGGAGAACCUGCGGCUGGAUCACCUC
RNAcentral lists this ribosomal RNA (485 nucleotides) under uncultured bacterium. RNAcentral's name for it is "bacterial SSU rRNA". It matches the Rfam family "Bacterial small subunit ribosomal RNA", at positions 1042 to 1529 of the family's 1533-position model. The record is from RNAcentral.